Molecule: transfer RNA, 63 nt
Filed under: Harmostica fulvicornis
Lineage: Eukaryota; Metazoa; Arthropoda; Insecta; Hemiptera; Rhyparochromidae
Description: tRNA-Asp
Source: RNAcentral
AAGAAAUUAGUUUAAUCAAAACAUCAAUUUGUCAAAUUGAAAAUAUUCAUUUAAUAUUUCUUU